This is a long non-coding RNA of Sapajus apella (tufted capuchin), 148 nucleotides long. RefSeq lists it as uncharacterized. The record is from RefSeq and is a predicted model, not a curated record. The transcript has 2 exons. NCBI's taxonomy places the organism in Eukaryota, Metazoa, Chordata, Mammalia, Primates, Cebidae.
GUUGGUUCCAAGUCUUUGCUAUUGUGAAUAGUGCUGCAGUAAACAUACGUGUGCAUGUGUCUUUAUAACAGAGCAAUUUGUAAUCCUUUGGAUAUAUACCCAGUAAUGGGAUUGCUGGGUCAAAUGGAAUUUCUAUUUCUACGUCCUU